This 522-nucleotide ribosomal RNA is filed under the name Roseivirga spongicola. RNAcentral's name for it is "bacterial SSU rRNA". It matches the Rfam family "Bacterial small subunit ribosomal RNA", at positions 381 to 905 of the family's 1533-position model. Lineage: Bacteria; Pseudomonadati; Bacteroidota; Cytophagia; Cytophagales; Roseivirgaceae. The record is from RNAcentral.
GCCUGACCAGCCAUGCCGCGUGCAGGAAGACGGCCUUCUGGGUUGUAAACUGCUUUUCUACGGGAAGAAAAUGCCCUUGCGAGGGAAAUUGCCGGUACCGUAGGAAUAAGCACCGGCUAACUCCGUGCCAGCAGCCGCGGUAAUACGGAGGGUGCAAGCGUUGUCCGGAUUUAUUGGGUUUAAAGGGUGCGUAGGCGGAUCUUUAAGUCAGUGGUGAAAGCCUGCAGCUUAACUGUAGAACUGCCAUUGAUACUGGAGGUCUUGAGUACACUAGAGGUAGGCGGAAUUUAUGGUGUAGCGGUGAAAUGCAUAGAUACCAUAAAGAACACCUAUAGCGUAGGCAGCUUACUGGAGUGUAACUGACGCUGAGGCACGAAAGCAUGGGGAGCGAACAGGAUUAGAUACCCUGGUAGUCCAUGCCGUAAACGAUGAUUACUCGAUGUUGGCGAUAUACUGUCAGCGUCCAAGCGAAAGCGUUAAGUAAUCCACCUGGGGAGUACGCUCGCAAGAGUGAAACUCAAA